Hypoxylon sp. CI-4A is the source of this 113-nucleotide non-coding RNA. The record is from the annotation of a GenBank genome assembly. Lineage: Eukaryota; Fungi; Ascomycota; Sordariomycetes; Xylariales; Hypoxylaceae.
GGCGCAGUGGCGGAGUGGUCUAACGCGCAAGACUAGAACCAUCUAGACUUCUUGUCUAGAGAACCUGGCAUCUUGUUCCUUCGGGAGCGUCUGUUCGAAUCAGGCCUGCGUCG